AUGCAGUCACCUCCGUAUAAAAGGAUCCACUUCGACUCGAGAUUCAAACCAAGAAACAUCAGUUGAUCUGUGUGUUCCAUCUCUUUCCUACAGUCUGCAAAAUAAAAUGAUGAAUGUCUUGUCAAUUUUCCUGCUCAUGGCUGCCGUGUCUAUGACCACCGUGUCCGCUCGAUUCUGGCAGGUAGGCGACAACGGUUUGUCUCGCUGGGACUACAAUUGCCAUUUUGUUGGCAAUGUCAUCGACAACAAGCCCAGCUCUGGCGAGCAAUGCGGUGGCAUCUGCAUCGCCAACGCUCAAUGCACCCACUUUACUCACGCUGGCGGUUACUGUUACCUGAAGAGAUACACCGGUGCUUGGAGAGAAACCGAUGAAACUGCAAACACUUGCGGUUUCAUCCCCGGCCGUAGCACGCAGAACGAACGAAAAUGAACGCAAUCGUCACGAAUUUCGGCUACGACAAACGACUGAAAAAAAGGAAAUUAUAAUACCGUUUAAAAUAUUUGAUCAAUAGCUGAAAAUAAAGCAUCUUCUGCAUGACAUUGGCAAAUACAUUCUGGUUAGCUCAA
Molecule: long non-coding RNA, 567 nt
Organism: Daphnia pulex (common water flea)
Lineage: Eukaryota; Metazoa; Arthropoda; Branchiopoda; Diplostraca; Daphniidae
Exons: 2
Source: RefSeq, a predicted model, not a curated record